RNAcentral lists this ribosomal RNA (580 nucleotides) under Bipolaris oryzae. RNAcentral describes it as "eukaryotic LSU rRNA". The stretch from base 209 to 362 matches the Rfam family "5.8S ribosomal RNA". Lineage: Eukaryota; Fungi; Ascomycota; Dothideomycetes; Pleosporales; Pleosporaceae. The record is from RNAcentral.
CCUUCCGUAGGUGAACCUGCGGAGGGAUCAUUACACAACAAAAUAUGAAGGCCUGGCUUUCGCGGCCGGCUGAAGUAUUUUUUUCACCCAUGUCUUUUGCGCACUUGUUGUUUCCUGGGCGGGUUCGCCCGCCACCAGGACCAAACCAUAAACCUUUUUUUUCUUAUGCAGUUUCCAUCAGCGUCAGUAAAAACAAUGUAAUUAUUACAACUUUCAACAACGGAUCUCUUGGUUCUGGCAUCGAUGAAGAACGCAGCGAAAUGCGAUACGUAGUGUGAAUUGCAGAAUUCAGUGAAUCAUCGAAUCUUUGAACGCACAUUGCGCCCUUUGGUAUUCCAAAGGGCAUGCCUGUUCGAGCGUCAUUUGUACCUUCAAGCUUUGCUUGGUGUUGGGCGUUUUUUUGUCUCCCUCUUUCUGGGAGACUCGCCUUAAAACGAUUGGCAGCCGGCCUACUGGUUUCGGAGCGCAGCACAUUUUUUGCGCUUUGUAUCAGGAGAAAAGGACGGUACUCCAUCAAGACUCUACAUUUUUCACUUUUGACCUCGGAUCAGGUAGGGAUACCCGCUACUUAAGCAUAUCA